CCUACGGGAGGCAGCAGUGAGGAAUAUUGGUCAAUGGACGAGAGUCUGAACCAGCCAAGCAGCGUGAAGGAUGACUGCCCUCUGGGUUGUAAACUUCUUUUAUAUGGGAAUAAAAUGUUAAACGUGUGGGAUUUUGUAUGUACCAUAUGCGUAAGGAUCGGCUAACUCCGUGCCAGCAGCCGCGGUAAUACGGAGGAUCCGAGAGUUAUCCGGAUUUAUUGGGUUUAAAGGGAGCGCAGGUGGAUUGUUAAGUCAGUUGUGAAAGUUUGCGGCUCAACCGGAGAAUUGCAGUUGAAACUGGCAGUCUUGAGUACAGUAGAGGUGGGUGGAAUUCGAGGUGUAGCGGUGAAAUGCUUAGAUAUCACGAAGAACUCCGAUGGCGAAGGCAGUUCACUGGACUGCAACUGACACUGAGGCUCGAAAGUGUGGGUAUCAAACAGGAUUAGAUACCCCAGUAGUC
RNAcentral lists this ribosomal RNA (460 nucleotides) under uncultured bacterium. RNAcentral describes it as "partial 16S ribosomal RNA". It matches the Rfam family "Bacterial small subunit ribosomal RNA", at positions 338 to 795 of the family's 1533-position model. The record is from RNAcentral.